Molecule: long non-coding RNA, 505 nt
Organism: Eriocheir sinensis (Chinese mitten crab)
Lineage: Eukaryota; Metazoa; Arthropoda; Malacostraca; Decapoda; Varunidae
Exons: 3
Source: RefSeq, a predicted model, not a curated record
GUUGUUCGGAGUUGUCCCUCUCCUAGGUGAACUGCCUACCACGGCUAACGAGCCCCAUCUGCCCGUGUUUGUUGUUCGGAGUUGUCCCUCUCCUAGGUGAACUGCCUACCACGGCUAACGAUCCUCACCUGCCCGUGUUUGUUGUUCGGAGUUGUCCCUCUCCUAGGUGAACUGCCUACCACGGCUAACGAUCCUCACCUGCCCGUGUUUGUUGUUCGGAGUUGUCCCUCUCCUAGGUGAACUGCCUACCACGGCUAACGAUCCUCACCUGCCCGUGUUUGUUGUUCGGAGUUGUCCCUCUCCUAGGUGAACUGCCUACCACGGCUAACGAUCCUCACCUGCCCGUGUUUGUUGUUCGGAGUUGUCCUUCUCCUAGGUGAACUGCCUACCACGGCUAACGAUCCUCACCUGCCCGUGUUUGUUGUUCGGAGUUGUCCCUCUCCUAGGUGAACUGCCUACCACGGCUAACGAUCCUCACCUUCCCGGGUUUGUGGUCAGAGUUGUC